AAGAGAUAUGAUGAUAUUUAUCCAACGGUUCUGUUAUAGAUGAUGAAACAAACAUGCACUACCAUCUGAUCUCUU
Small nucleolar RNA from Trifolium pratense (red clover), 75 nucleotides. Lineage: Eukaryota; Viridiplantae; Streptophyta; Magnoliopsida; Fabales; Fabaceae. The record is from RefSeq and is a predicted model, not a curated record.